RNAcentral lists this long non-coding RNA (1709 nucleotides) under Mus musculus (house mouse). RNAcentral's name for it is "predicted gene 4311 (Gm4311)". Lineage: Eukaryota; Metazoa; Chordata; Mammalia; Rodentia; Muridae. The record is from RNAcentral.
AGUCAGUUCUGAACCGAGGAAGCCAGAUAAUCCGUCUGCUUAUUGGAGACUGCUAAUCCAGAAAGACGACUUUCAUCACCGAAGGUAUCUUCCAGGCUCUGCAAAUCCCAGAGGAUCUGUCUCCUUCCUUCACACAAGCCUCGGCGCUGGCUUCGUUUCUGAAAUCACCGGCACUGGCUGAGCUCUGCUUCUUGGCUGGGGCUGAAGAAACGAUAUGAUCCUGUGCUCUUCCUUCCACAGUAAUUAUCAGCAUAUUCCGCUCGCAUUAUCAAACAUCCCGCCUCACAGAAGCCGUGUUCACAUCCAAAAUACAGCCAAAGGAGAACAGGAUAGUGGACGAGGAAGAAAAUUGAUUGGCUCUAGGAAGACUGCUCUGUGGCCUCUCCGGCAGUUCUAAGAAGCAAAGCCUUCCAGUCUCAAGCCCUGGAAUCCUGUGCCUUCUGCCCUAGUAGAGCCCAGUCUGCUAAUCUCCCCAGCACCUCCCCAUUUUGAUCUUGACUUGGAUGGAAAUCUGAGGAAAUCUGAGAUUAGGCUCUGAUGGCCAAAGAAUGCCUACUAUCCCCAGGGAGGGGGCACUCUACUGGACCAAGACAAGAACACAGAUUCUGUUCGUAGAAAGAGCGUGCAUCUUGUGACACAUCUCUAAGAACAAGGUAAUGAACUCAAGGACUGAGUAGUAUGGGCCUCAUAGAGGAAAACCAAGCCGUGGCAGGCAACUGUUUGGGGGUGGGGGUGGGAGACAAAUAUCCUGGUUUUCCUUGGGACUGGUGGAUUGCCCCAACUUCAGGAUUUCAGUGGCAAAAUAGGAAGCAUCCAGAUGAAUGGAGACCAGUUGGUCACCUGAGUAUUACCUCCUAAGAGCAACAAAAAUAACAAUAACUAAUUUACUAUCUGCCGGGCACUGCUGUAAGCAAGGCACCUUUCUUUGCUUUUCAAUUGACUCAUCGGUUGAAAGUCUGUAUUUAUUUCUAUUUUAUAAAUAAAGAAACUGAAGAGCAGAGAAGGCAGAUUAACUAUGGACCACAUCCAAAGUCACACAGCUGAGUGAGUGUGGACUUAACACAGAAACCCAGCUCUGUCUGUCUCCCAAAUCCAUCAUUUUACCAUUAUGAUAUCUUUUUCCUUCAAACACACAAGAAAGUAAUUAUAUACUGGAAUUAGUACUUUUGGGAUUGUUGUCUUGAACUAAGUGGCUUUGAACAAGUCCCACAUUGGCUGCUAGGCCCCAACCCCAAACUGAAAACUGGAAAGAGCCUAAACGGCUUUUUUCUCUUUUAAUCCUGGGGAUUGAACCUGGGGCCUUAAACAGACUAAGUGAGUACCAUACCACUAAGCUAUUGCCCCUCCUCUUGAGAAUUAUACUUAAUCAUUCUUAUAAAUGACAUUGGAUGCCCAGAAAUAAAAUAUCUGUGUGCCUGGAAUCAAAUGUUCAGAAGUGUAAAUAGGAGUUUACUGUCCCAUAAAGCCAGAAUUUCAAGUCUGUGGGGAAACGGCAGUAAAUGCUAGGGCGAUGAGGGGACGGAAUGAAGCUGGCUCUCUGCUUCACACUUUAUACUAAAUGCAUUCCAAAUGGAGUCAGGUUUAUGUGUGAGAAUAAAAUCAAGGGAAUACUGGAAGAACUCAUGGGAACACAGGUCAGAGUGUGCUGUGAGAUCCAGAGAAUCUAUAAAUGGAAGUGAGUUCCAUUUCAUUAAACUGUUCUUCGUGGC